This 301-nucleotide ribosomal RNA is filed under the name uncultured bacterium. Its description in RNAcentral is "partial 16S ribosomal RNA". It matches the Rfam family "Bacterial small subunit ribosomal RNA", at positions 509 to 807 of the family's 1533-position model. The record is from RNAcentral.
CAGUAGCCUCGGGAAUACGAAGGGUGCAAGCGUUAAUCGGAAUUACUGGGCGUAAAGCGUGCGUAGGCGGUGAGUUAAGUCUGCUGUGAAAUCCCCGGGCUCAACCUGGGAAUGGCAGUGGAUACUGGCUCGCUAGAGUGUGUCAGAGGAUGGUGGAAUUCCCGGUGUAGCGGUGAAAUGCGUAGAGAUCGGGAGGAACAUCAGUGGCGAAGGCGGCCAUCUGGGACAACACUGACGCUGAGGCACGAAAGCGUGGGGAGCAAACAGGAUUAGAUACCCCCGUAGUCCCUGUCUCUUAUAC